This is a long non-coding RNA of Zophobas morio, 239 nucleotides long. RefSeq lists it as uncharacterized. Lineage: Eukaryota; Metazoa; Arthropoda; Insecta; Coleoptera; Tenebrionidae. The transcript has 3 exons. The record is from RefSeq and is a predicted model, not a curated record.
AGUGUUCCGAGUUCAUCACAGCCAUCAUCUUUAGCACCCACACGGUACCAAAAACCUUCGCAGCAGCAGUACCGGUCACAGUUAAUACAAUGAGUCAGAGCCUGAAGAAUAUUGAUGUCCUUACCAGCGAGAUCAUUGACAAAAUUGAAUUGUGCCUUAAUCCUGCGACAGCACCCCCACCACUGCUGAGGGGGCAUGUCUUAGAGGCAAAGCAAUACCCCACCACCACGAAACACGCC